UUGUCCACCGGAGCUGGCUCCACCGGAAAAAGAAGAGUGGCGAACGGGUGAGUAACACGUGGGUAACCUGCCCAUCAGAAGGGGAUAACACUUGGAAACAGGUGCUAAUACCGUAUAACAAUCGAAACCGCAUGGUUUUGAUUUGAAAGGCGCUUUCGGGUGUCGCUGAUGGAUGGACCCGCGGUGCAUUAGCUAGUUGGUGAGGUAACGGCUCACCAAGGCCACGAUGCAUAGCCGACCUGAGAGGGUGAUCGGCCACAUUGGGACUGAGACACGGCCCAAACUCCUACGGGAGGCAGCAGUAGGGAAUCUUCGGCAAUGGACGAAAGUCUGACCGAGCAACGCCGCGUGAGUGAAGAAGGUUUUCGGAUCGUAAAACUCUGUUGUUAGAGAAGAACAAGGAUGAGAGUAACUGUUCAUCCCUUGACGGUAUCUAACCAGAAAGCCACGGCUAACUACGUGCCAGCAGCCGCGGUAAUACGUAGGUGGCAAGCGUUGUCCGGAUUUAUUGGGCGUAAAGCGAGCGCAGGCGGUUUCUUAAGUCUGAUGUGAAAGCCCCCGGCUCAACCGGGGAGGGUCAUUGGAAACUGGGAGACUUGAGUGCAGAAGAGGAGAGUGGAAUUCCAUGUGUAGCGGUGAAAUGCGUAGAUAUAUGGAGGAACACCAGUGGCGAAGGCGGCUCUCUGGUCUGUAACUGACGCUGAGGCUCGAAAGCGUGGGGAGCAAACAGGAUUAGAUACCCUGGUAGUCCACGCCGUAAACGAUGAGUGCUAAGUGUUGGAGGGUUUCCGCCCUUCAGUGCUGCAGCUAACGCAUUAAGCACUCCGCCUGGGGAGUACGACCGCAAGGUUGAAACUCAAAGGAAUUGACGGGGGCCCGCACAAGCGGUGGAGCAUGUGGUUUAAUUCGAAGCAACGCGAAGAACCUUUACCAGGUCUUGACA
Molecule: ribosomal RNA, 943 nt
Filed under: Enterococcus durans
Lineage: Bacteria; Bacillati; Bacillota; Bacilli; Lactobacillales; Enterococcaceae
Description: bacterial SSU rRNA
Rfam family: Bacterial small subunit ribosomal RNA
Source: RNAcentral